This is a transfer RNA of Phanerochaete carnosa HHB-10118-sp, 108 nucleotides long. It matches the Rfam family "tRNA". Rfam says of the family: Transfer RNA (tRNA) molecules are approximately 80 nucleotides in length. Their secondary structure includes four short double-helical elements and three loops (D, anti-codon, and T loops). The record is from Rfam. NCBI's taxonomy places the organism in Eukaryota, Fungi, Basidiomycota, Agaricomycetes, Polyporales, Phanerochaetaceae.
GCCCGCCUAGCUCAAUCGGAUAGAGCGUCAGACUCUUAAGAGCGCGGGUGUAAAGCACGCGAUCCGAGUGCGAUCUGAAGGCUGCGAGUUCGACCCUCGCGGUGGGCU